UGCAGUCGAACGGUAACAGGAAAUAGCUUGCUAUUUUGCUGACGAGUGGCGCACGGGUGCGUAACGCGUAUACAAUCUACCUUUUGCUGAGGGAUAGCCCAGAGAAAUUUGGAUUAAUACCUCAUGGUAUUAUUGAUAGGCAUCUAUUAAUAAUUAAAGGUUACGGCAAAAGAUGAGUAUGCGUCCCAUUAGCUAGUUGGUGAAGUAACGGUUCACCAAGGCAACGAUGGGUAGGGGUCCUGAGAGGGAGAUCCCCCACACUGGUACUGAGACACGGACCAGACUCCUACGGGAGGCAGCAGUGAGGAAUAUUGGACAAUGGGCGAGAGCCUGAUCCAGCCAUGCCGCGUGCAGGAAGACUGCCCUAUGGGUUGUAAACUGCUUUUAUACAGGAAGAAUAAGCCUUACGUGUAAGGUGAUGACGGUACUGUAAGAAUAAGGACCGGCUAACUCCGUGCCAGCAGCCGCGGUAAUACGGAGGGUCCGAGCGUUAUCCGGAAUUAUUGGGUUUAAAGG
RNAcentral lists this ribosomal RNA (516 nucleotides) under uncultured bacterium. Its description in RNAcentral is "bacterial SSU rRNA". It matches the Rfam family "Bacterial small subunit ribosomal RNA", at positions 56 to 566 of the family's 1533-position model. The record is from RNAcentral.